GGGUCAGUAGGUUGGUCGUGCCACCGGUACGUACUGGUCUCACUGAUUCCUCCUUCCUGAAGAACCGUAAUGCCAUUAAUUUGGUGUUGCGGGGAAACAGGACUGUUACUUUGAAAAAAUUAGAGUGUUUAAAGCAAGCUAACGCUUGGAUACAUUAGCAUGGAAUAAUGAAAUAGGACGAUCGAUCCUAUUUUGCUGGUUUCUAGGAUUGACGUA
RNAcentral lists this ribosomal RNA (216 nucleotides) under Glomeromycotina sp. RNAcentral's name for it is "partial small subunit ribosomal RNA". The stretch from base 40 to 216 matches the Rfam family "Eukaryotic small subunit ribosomal RNA", at positions 686 to 864 of the family's 1831-position model. Lineage: Eukaryota; Fungi; Glomeromycota. The record is from RNAcentral.